AGCUCAACGAACCACAUGCCAUCUCCGCCUGGUUCACGCCGCCGUCCCGCGUACGAUUGGAAAAAGCCCCACCCUGCUUUCAAACCCUACCCACCGUCAACGGAACGCGCCGCGCCGCCUACCCCUGCUUUCCUGCCUCUAUAUACAAAGGCUGGGUGCGACGAAAAAGCAUCCUCUUUGCUUUUGCUAGUUGGCUUGUUCGCAGAUCGCUUCGUAGGAGGAAAUCCGAAGCCAACACCAACCGAGCAAUGGCCACCGGUGCUUCAGCCAACAUGUGGAGGAGAUGGCUCCGGCCCGAGGCGUACCCGAUCUUCGCGACCACCGGCGUGGCCGUCGGGAUCUGCGUGAUGCAGCUCGUGCGCAACAUCACCACCAACCCUGAAGUCAGGGUGACCAAGGAGAACAGAGCGGCCGGGGUGCUGGACAACCACGCCGAGGGGGAGAGGUACUCGCGCCACGGAUUCAGGAAGUUCAUCGACGGGAGGUCCAGGGAGAUCAUGCCGGCUCUCAACAGCUUCUUCACUGACCCACCAAAGUAUUAAGGGGCAGCCCUGCUCUCUACAGACUGGAAUUCAUUCCCAGGAUUUUCCUUCUACAGAAAGAAUUUACCAUUAUUUCCCCCCAAUUUGGGUGUCAAUCGCAUCGCCAUGAUUGUCUGGCUGUAUAAUAAUAAUUUUUGAUCGCAUACAAAUAUUGAUCUGAAUUAUCUAGAAGAAAUCAUAACAGUUUGCCAUGGAUUUUCGUUUCGGUUUUGGUCUGCUCUGAAUCUGUGGUCAAUAAUGUAGCUCUGGUUUUACUUUCGAACUAUGUAUGAAUGCAAUGUUUUGGUUAUCUUUUUU
Long non-coding RNA from Brachypodium distachyon (stiff brome), 839 nucleotides. RefSeq lists it as uncharacterized. The transcript has 3 exons. NCBI's taxonomy places the organism in Eukaryota, Viridiplantae, Streptophyta, Magnoliopsida, Poales, Poaceae. The record is from RefSeq and is a predicted model, not a curated record.